UUCGCUUGGUUGCCGUUUUAUUUUUGGAGUAUUUUGUAGUUAUAAACACGCCUGAGUUACUAACUUUCUGUAAGAACAUUUUAAUUUCCCGUUUAAUUUUUUUGGUUUCUUCCCCCAGCUGCACUUGCUGGCAGGCGAUUAUGAAGCAGGCGGGGACACGCAUGGAGUCGUGAUAAAGGCCCAUGGAUUACGCUGCGGCACUUGCAGGCAGGCGGUCGUGAAGCAGGCGGUGACAGGGAUGGAGCAGUUAUGAAAGCCCAUGGAUUACACUGUUGUCAGAGCCAACUGAGGUUCGAACUCUUGUGCUCCAAGGACUACCUCUUGUGUUUGGAGAUGACUCCCCUGCUUUCUUCAAGACAUGUUUGAUGUCCGAUGAUCUUGACGUUCCAGUGGGGAUUGUAAUAGUUGAAGAUGGGACUACUCUUCAGCCUCUCAACUCUCUGCAUUUGCCUCUCUCCUCAUUUGGGAUAGUAAUUGAGGGAAAAGUGGUGAUGGACAAUCUACGUGACCUUUCUGAAUCAAUGUGCCUUCUGUUUGGACUAAUUUAUGCGUUACACUUAAAUUACCCAAAGUCACUGAAGUACACAUUUGAAUUUAUUCAACGCAUUCUCCUUUCCAUGGGGCAGAAAGACCUGCAGCCUAAGAUACAAUCCUUGGCUAACCAGCUGUUCCAUUAAAAUGGAUAAACAAGAUCAGCACAUGCAUUUUCAUAAAAAAAAAAAAAAAAAAAACACUUAAGAUACAGCAUGGGGGGGGGUCUCUUUCUGUUUUGUGCUUUUCUUGUCAGCUGAGAUUUAAAAAAAAAAAAAGACCUUUACAUUGGAAAUUAAAAACAUUUUAACAUUUAAAAAGUCAGUAAGACUUUUACCAGCAAAGUGGAAACUUGUCUUUUUUCCUUUUUCUCUAACCUUUUACUUGCAGAGAAUGUAGUUUGUUCACAUUCAAUGACAGGACACUCAAAUUUGUUGCACAAUUCUGUGGAAUGACAACAAACCUACCGUACAAAACACUGUGGUAGGUCCAGAUUAAUACCAUGGUAUUUAUAACACACAAGGAACUGGAAAAUCUCAAACCAAAAAUAUGAGUUUACAGUUUUGUCUCUUCUAAAAAUGUGACAAAAUGUCUAGAUAAAAAUAAGCUAACCAUUUGGUUGUUAAUGUGUCUUUUAAAAUGUUAUAAUAAAUAAUAGGUUUACAUCUAAAAACAGUUUACCGUUAAAACAAUAGCUUAUGUUCAUGUCUUUUAAAAAUGUGAGUUUACUGUUAAAAAUUUGCUAUUUCUUUGUUUGUGCGUCUUUUAAAAAUGUGAGCUUGCACUUAAAAAUACCUUUUCUGUUAAAAAUGAGUUCAGGUUUUCUAAAAAUGUGAGCUUAUGAUUUUGUUCAUGUCUUAAAAAUGACUGAAUGUGAUCUUACAGAUGAAAAUAGGAGUUUGCUGUUAAAAUGAGCUCAUGAUUUUGUUGUUCAUGUCUUUUAAAAAUGUGGGCUUACUGUUAUAAGCAAUGAAAUGUAAAUGCAGUAUAAUCCUAAUAAAGUGGUUGAUUUGGGAAAAAACAACUUGUUUUAAUGAUUUAUAAAUUAUUUAAUACAAGUAAAGAAUAUAUAAGCUGAAAAUUUGGGAAGUUUUGUCUAUUAGCCCUUUUAAGUUAUUUGUACUUAAACAUUUAAGUUAAUUCAAUGAAGAGACCACAUUUGGUUAACUCAAUAAAUCGAGUUGUCAAUUUUCCAUUACUCAAACGAACUGAGGGAAUCACUUUCCUCAAAUCAUUUGAGUACUCUCAACUUAUUAGGGUUUACAGUGUAUGUACUGC
Long non-coding RNA from Labeo rohita (rohu), 1809 nucleotides. RefSeq lists it as uncharacterized. The record is from RefSeq and is a predicted model, not a curated record. Lineage: Eukaryota; Metazoa; Chordata; Actinopteri; Cypriniformes; Cyprinidae. The transcript is spliced from 4 exons.